UGCAAGGGCACUCUGUGUUAUUCAUUUUCAAUUGAACAAUUACAAUUUGUAACCUUGCUACAUCGAUUCUGCCAAAUCCUAUUCCCGAUUUGCCGUGUUCUGGCUAUUGGGUCAUAUUGGCAGGUACAUUAU
This is a small nucleolar RNA of Plodia interpunctella (Indianmeal moth), 132 nucleotides long. RefSeq annotates it as small nucleolar RNA psi18S-841/snoR66. NCBI's taxonomy places the organism in Eukaryota, Metazoa, Arthropoda, Insecta, Lepidoptera, Pyralidae. The transcript has a single exon. The record is from RefSeq and is a predicted model, not a curated record.